CAGCCGCCACGGUAAAACGGAGGGUGCAAGCGUUAAUCGGAAUUACUGGGCGUAAAGCGUGCGUAGGCGGUUCGUUAAGUCUGUUGUGAAAGCCCCGGGCUCAACCUGGGAAUGGCAAUGGAUACUGGCGAGCUAGAGUGUGUCAGAGGAUGGUGGAAUUCCCGGUGUAGCGGUGAAAUGCGUAGAGAUCGGGAGGAACAUCAGUGGCGAAGGCGGCCAUCUGGGACAACACUGACGCUGAGGCACGAAAGCGUGGGGAGCAAACAGGAUUAGAUACCCGGGUAGUCCCUGUCUCUUAUAC
This 301-nucleotide ribosomal RNA is filed under the name uncultured bacterium. RNAcentral describes it as "partial 16S ribosomal RNA". It matches the Rfam family "Bacterial small subunit ribosomal RNA", at positions 509 to 807 of the family's 1533-position model. The record is from RNAcentral.